UGCAUUGAGUGCAGUUGGUGCAAAGAUGUGCGUCUGCUCUACACAGGAAAAAAAGAAAAAGAAAAAAAUUCCAUCUGUCUGUAUUUGAAAUCAGCUCGCCAGCCUGUAGUUGGUCGAACCCCACCCAGAUGGUGCUGCGCAAAUGUAUGUUAAAAGAUAUCUUAUAUUAGUGUUGUGGGUGUCCAAUUUUUUUUGAAUGCCAUUUAGCCAAUGUGCCCAACCUGCUGCACAGAGAAAUCGUGACAAAAUAAAGAUAUGCUGAAGAGUUUCUAUUUCAAGGGCCAGAUCCUGCAAACAGUUCUGGAUCCUACAUUUGUCAACUGGCGUUUGCUUUGCACAUGAAAACGCAUGUUGAAGUCUCUAAUGAGCUGCUGAUGGGACAAAAAUAUCUAAUUUAUAAAUCGGAAGUGAGGAACAAAGGAAUGAACUGAAGUAACUCAACUCUACCCUUUCCACAGCUGAGGACACAAAGUAAUAAUUGUCACUCAGCAAAAUUAUCGCACAAAAGAACAGCAAGUCAUUCAUUUCCACAUGAAAAAGCACAAAAAUAGGAUUUCUGAAAGACUGAUUGGAAGAUUAAAGAUCAGAAGGUUAGCAUUAAAGUUUGUGCCUAAAGCAGCAGCUGCACACCAGCAUUGUGGCUGAUAGAAUUGCUCACCUCCUCCUCGGCUUUAGUGCUGCUCUCGGGCCAGCUGCUAUGUGGUAUACAAGAGGGAUGCAGUUGGUAGAUCCCAAACUGAUGUAAGCAGUGAUCUGAAUGACCUGGGAGACAAGCCUUCAGGAGCAAACCAACACCUGCUUUGCUUAGGCAAUCAGCAGACCUGCCUACUUUGCCAACGUGAUCAAUUUCAGCUGUUUUGGAUUAAGAUCCACUUUAGUCUUGGAUGCAGGGGGUAAUGAAAUGUUAUUAUCCUUAUUGUCUGAACAAAGGGUAUCCUGGGACAUGGGAGACCUGAAUUCAGUUCCCUGCUUCACCAUAGCCGUCCUGUAACACCUUGGGCCAGUCACCUAGUAGUCCCUUUGUCACUAAAUUUCCCAUCCAUAGAAGGAUGAUAGAAGCACCAGCCUACUUUGCAAGGGUGCUUUUAGGAUAAAUACACUAAUGCUUGGAUGCUGUGGUAAUGCGGGUCAUACAAGCAUGCCAGAUAAGAGUACAGGUUCUCUUCUUAAAUGCAAGUAAACUGGUAACAUUUGCUAAGUUAUCAAAAGACUUAAUUUAAAGAGGGUGAGAAUAAAAUUGGUGGAUUUCCCUGCCUCUUCUGUUGA
Molecule: long non-coding RNA, 1266 nt
Filed under: Chrysemys picta bellii (western painted turtle)
Lineage: Eukaryota; Metazoa; Chordata; Testudines; Emydidae
Description: lncRNA (ENSCPBG00000014137.1)
Source: RNAcentral